CUGCUGCCCGUGGGUCGGCUCCUGCCUGAUCCCCAGGGAGAUUUAGCAAGUCCUCAGAAGAUUCAGCCUCGUAGUUACCGGCACAAGUCACCCAGCUAGUAACUGAACAGCCAGGAACCGCUGUCAGUCAGGAGGCAGGAGCACGGGGGAUCACAGACCUCGCUCGGCUGCGCCGUGUUGCUGGGAACCUCCCGUCAGGUGCAGGGGCGAGCUGAC
This is a long non-coding RNA of Oxyura jamaicensis (ruddy duck), 216 nucleotides long. RefSeq lists it as uncharacterized. The record is from RefSeq and is a predicted model, not a curated record. The transcript is spliced from 3 exons. NCBI's taxonomy places the organism in Eukaryota, Metazoa, Chordata, Aves, Anseriformes, Anatidae.